Molecule: ribosomal RNA, 438 nt
Filed under: uncultured bacterium
Lineage: Bacteria
Description: partial 16S ribosomal RNA
Rfam family: Bacterial small subunit ribosomal RNA
Source: RNAcentral
CUACGGGGUGCUGCAGUGGGGAAUAUUGCACAAUGGAGGAAACUCUGAUGCAGCAACGCCGCGUGGAGGAUGACACUUUUCGGAGCGUAAACUCCUUUUAUAUAGGAAGAAGAUGACGGUACUAUAUGAAUAAGCGCCGGCUAACUCCGUGCCAGCAGCCGCGGUAAUACGGAGGGCGCAAGCGUUACCGGAAUCACUGGGCGUAUAGAGCGUGUAGGCGGAUUAAAAAGUCAGAAGUGAAAUCCUAUAGCUUAACUAUAGAACUGCUUCUGAAACUCUUAAUCUAGAAUAUGGGAGAGGUAGAUGGAAUUUCUGGUGUAGGGGUAAAAUCCGUAGAGAUCAGAAGGAAUACCGAUUGCGAAGGCGAUCUACUAGAACAUUAUUGACGCUGAGACGCGAAAGCGUGGGGAGCAAACAGGAUUAGAUACCCGGGUAGUC